RNAcentral lists this microRNA precursor (112 nucleotides) under Nicotiana attenuata. RNAcentral's name for it is "pre miRNA MIR1446". Lineage: Eukaryota; Viridiplantae; Streptophyta; Magnoliopsida; Solanales; Solanaceae. The record is from RNAcentral.
UCAACUUUCUUCCAAGUCUGAUCCGUACAAGCUUAAUGGGAUAUUGGUGAUAUAUUCUUCUUUCACCAAUAUCCCAUUAAGCUUGUACGGAUCAGACUUGGAAGAAAGUUGA